GACGAACGCUGGCGGCGUGCCUAAUACAUGCAAGUAGAAGCUAGUUGCGAACGGGUGAGUAACGCGUAGGAACCUGCCUCAUAGCGGGGGAUAACUACGCGAAAGCGUAGCUAAUACCGCAUACUCUUCGAGCGGCCGAUAUCGGAUUAGCUAGUUGGUGGGGUAACGGCGCACCAAGGCGACGAUCCGGAGCCGGUUUGAGAGGACGACCAGCCACACUGGGACUGAGACACGGCCCAGACUCCUACGGGAGGCAGCAGUGGGGAAUUUUGGAAAAUGGGGGAAACCCUGAUCCAGCCAUCCCGCGUGUGCGAUGAAGGCCUUCGGGUUGUAAAGCACUUUUGGCAGGAAAGCGGGACCUGCAGAAUAAGCACCGGCUAACUACGUGCCAGCAGCCGCGGUAAUAC
Molecule: ribosomal RNA, 407 nt
Filed under: uncultured bacterium
Lineage: Bacteria
Description: partial 16S ribosomal RNA
Rfam family: Bacterial small subunit ribosomal RNA
Source: RNAcentral